CGGCGGACGGGUGAGUAAUGUCUGGGAAACUGCCUGAUGGAGGGGGAUAACUACUGGAAACGGUAGCUAAUACCGCAUAACGUCGCAAGACCAAAGAGGGGGACCUUCGGGCCUCUUGCCAUCGGAUGUGCCCAGAUGGGAUUAGCUAGUAGGUGGGGUAACGGCUCACCUAGGCGACGACCCCUAGCUGGUCUGAGAGGAUGACCAGCCACACUGGAACUGAGACACGGUCCAG
This 235-nucleotide ribosomal RNA is filed under the name uncultured bacterium. RNAcentral describes it as "partial 16S ribosomal RNA". It matches the Rfam family "Bacterial small subunit ribosomal RNA", at positions 96 to 334 of the family's 1533-position model. The record is from RNAcentral.